This is a long non-coding RNA of Aedes albopictus (Asian tiger mosquito), 723 nucleotides long. RefSeq lists it as uncharacterized. The record is from RefSeq and is a predicted model, not a curated record. Lineage: Eukaryota; Metazoa; Arthropoda; Insecta; Diptera; Culicidae. The transcript is spliced from 3 exons.
ACGUGUUGCGGAAUACAAGCGAUAGGCCCUUUGGAUCUUCUGCACAAUAAGGCGACGCAGCGCAAUACGGACGCGCAGCGUUGAACGUCAACCAUGACUUGUCGGUGACAGAUCUCAAACAAUGACAUCAGCACCAUACGAAUGAAAUCAUACUCUCGUGAUAGUGAAGAAAUGAUGAAAAGUUACAUAUUUAUGUCCAAUAAUUGCGUUUUGUACAACUAUAAGGUUUAUAAACUGAAUUCGAUAAAUUAGUAAUCCUAUAGUUGAGGUCAGUAAUGAAUUUAAUUGGUUAUUCUAAAGAAAUCAUGCAACUUAAAACUAUUUCUGGAACAUGCGACAAAAACACAUUUUUAUAUGAUUCAUUCCUAAAAUUACAGUACUGGCAAAUCAAUUAUUUACUCUAAAGUGAUCUUACAUACUAAAUUAAAUACUAAAUAGUACGGAAUCUGCUCUAACCUCUAAAGCCAAGGCUGGAAUCAAAGUUGGAUUGUUCGGAUAGUUGGUAAACUAAUUUUCGAGUUAGCGGAAAAACCGAACUACGAAACCGUUUUUUAACAUCCUCGAAAAUUACUGCAUCCAAUCAGGUUCCAGCCAGUAAUGAGCAGUGCAGCGAUGCAGUCUGUCAACCACUGCAAGGCAUGCAAUCGGCCGGACCAUGCCGACGAUAUGGUUGCAUGCGAUAUUUGUGGAACUUGGUUCCACUACACUUGUGCAGGAGUUCAA